Molecule: ribosomal RNA, 239 nt
Filed under: uncultured bacterium
Lineage: Bacteria
Description: partial 16S ribosomal RNA
Rfam family: Bacterial small subunit ribosomal RNA
Source: RNAcentral
UGGGGAAUAUUGGGCAAUGGGCGCAAGCCUGACCCAGCGACGCCGCGUGGGUGAUGAAGGCCUUUGGGUUGCAAAUCCCUUUCGUGCGGAAAGAACAGUCACGUGGUUAAUACCCGCGGGAUUUGACGGUACCGCAGGAAGAAGCAACGGCCAACUCCGUGCCAGCAGCCGCGGUAAUACGGAGGGGGCAAGCGUUGUUCGGAAUUACUGGGUGUAAAGGGCGCGGAGGCGGUAAUGUA